CGCCAUGGCGGAUUGUGCGGGCAGUCGAAAGGCUGGCCGUUACUCCUACGGUAUUGCUACCCCGCGCAAUCUGCCGCCUUA
RNAcentral lists this non-coding RNA (81 nucleotides) under Candidatus Kentrum sp. TUN. Lineage: Bacteria; Pseudomonadati; Pseudomonadota; Gammaproteobacteria. The record is from RNAcentral.